UACGGGGGGGUAAGCGUUGUUCGGAAUUACUGGGCGUAAAGGGCUCGUAGGCGGCCAACUAAGUCAGACGUGAAAUCCCUCAGCUUAACUGGGGAACUGCGUCUGAUACUGGAUGGCUUGGAUUCGGGAGAGGAAUGCGGAAUUCCAGGUGUAGCGGUGAAAUGCGUAGAUAUCUGGAGGAACACCGGUGGCGAAGGCGGCAUUCUGGACCGAUAUUGACGCUGAGGAGCGAAAGCCAGGGGAGCAA
This 247-nucleotide ribosomal RNA is filed under the name uncultured bacterium. Its description in RNAcentral is "partial 16S ribosomal RNA". It matches the Rfam family "Bacterial small subunit ribosomal RNA", at positions 524 to 771 of the family's 1533-position model. The record is from RNAcentral.